UACGGAGGGUGCAAGCGUUAAUCGGAAUAACUGGGCGUAAAGCGCACGCAGGCGGUUGGAUAAGUCAGAUGUGAAAGCCCCGGGCUCAACCUGGGAACUGCAUUUGAAACUGUCUGACUAGAGUCUUGUAGAGGGGGGUAGAAUUCCAGGAGUAGCGGUGAAAUGCGUAGAGAUCUGGAGGAAUACCGGUGGCGAAGGCGGCCCCCUGGACAAAGACUGACGCUCAGGUGCGAAAGCGUGGGGAGCAAACAGG
RNAcentral lists this ribosomal RNA (253 nucleotides) under uncultured bacterium. RNAcentral describes it as "partial 16S ribosomal RNA". It matches the Rfam family "Bacterial small subunit ribosomal RNA", at positions 524 to 776 of the family's 1533-position model. The record is from RNAcentral.